This 401-nucleotide ribosomal RNA is filed under the name uncultured prokaryote. Its description in RNAcentral is "bacterial SSU rRNA". It matches the Rfam family "Bacterial small subunit ribosomal RNA", at positions 355 to 774 of the family's 1533-position model. The record is from RNAcentral.
UAGGGAAUAUUAGAAAUGGACGAAAGUCUGAUCUAGCAACACCGCGUGUGCGAAGAAGGCCUUCGGGUUGUAAAGCACUUUUUGGAAGGAUUAGGAAGGAAUGUACUUCCAGAAUAAGUCUCGGCUAACUACGUGCCAGCAGCCGCGGUAACACGUAGGAGGCAAACGUUAUCCGGAUUUACUGGUCGUAAAGCGCGUGUAGGCGGUUCUGUAAGUAGGGCGUGAAAGCUCCUGGCUCAACUGGGAGAGGCCGUUCUAAACUGCAGAGCUAGAGGAUGGUAGAGGGAGGUGGAAUUCCGGGUGUAGCGGUGAAUGCGCAGAUAUCCGGAGGAACACCAGUGGCGAAAGCGGCCUCCUGGACCAUUCCUGACACUCAGACGCGAAAGCUAGGGUAGCAAACG